CAGGUGGAAGUCCAGUUGGCAGGACGUUCGCUUUGGGUGCGAGAGGCCGCUGGUUCGAGUCCAGCUCACCUGA
Molecule: transfer RNA, 73 nt
Filed under: Hymenobacter sp.
Lineage: Bacteria; Pseudomonadati; Bacteroidota; Cytophagia; Cytophagales; Hymenobacteraceae
Description: tRNA-Pro
Rfam family: tRNA
About the family: Transfer RNA (tRNA) molecules are approximately 80 nucleotides in length. Their secondary structure includes four short double-helical elements and three loops (D, anti-codon, and T loops). Further hydrogen bonds mediate the characteristic L-shaped molecular structure. tRNAs have two regions of fundamental functional importance: the anti-codon, which is responsible for specific mRNA codon recognition, and the 3' end, to which the tRNAs corresponding amino acid is attached (by aminoacyl-tRNA synthetases). tRNAs cope with the degeneracy of the genetic code in two manners: having more than one tRNA (with a specific anti-codon) for a particular amino acid; and 'wobble' base-pairing, i.e. permitting non-standard base-pairing at the 3rd anti-codon position.
Source: RNAcentral